RNAcentral lists this ribosomal RNA (253 nucleotides) under uncultured bacterium. Its description in RNAcentral is "partial 16S ribosomal RNA". It matches the Rfam family "Bacterial small subunit ribosomal RNA", at positions 524 to 776 of the family's 1533-position model. The record is from RNAcentral.
GACGUAGGGCGCGAGCGUUGUCCGGAUUUAUUGGGCGUAAAGAGCUCGUAGGCGGCUUGUCGCGUCGUUCGUGAAAACCUGUGGCUCAACUACAGGCUUGCGGUCGAUACGGGCAGGCUGGAGUUCGGUAGGGGAGACUGGAAUUCCUGGUGUAGCGGUGAAAUGCGCAGAUAUCAGGAGGAACACCGGUGGCGAAGGCGGGUCUCUGGGCCGAUACUGACGCUGAGAAGCGAAAGCGUGGGGAGCGAACAGG